GACGAACGCUGGCGGCGUGCCUAAUACAAGCAAGUGGGACGCAAGAGAACACACUGUGCUUGCACACCGUGUUUUCUUGAGUCGCGAACGGGUGAGUAACGCGUAGGUAACCUGCCUAUUAGCGGGGGAUAACUAUUGGAAACGAUAGCUAAUACCGCAUAAUAUUAAUUAUUGCCUGAUAAUUGAGUGAAAGAUGCAAGCGCAUCACUAGUAGAUAGACGUGCGUUGUAUUAGCUAGUUGGUAAGGUAAGUGCUUACCAAGGCGACGAUACAUAGCCGACCUGAGAGGGUGAUCGGCAACACUGGGACUGAGACACGGCCCAGACUCCUACGGGAGGCAGCAGUAGGGAAUCUUCGGCAAUGGACGAAAGUCUGACCGAGCAACGCCGCGUGAGUGAAGGAGGUUUUCGGAUCGUAAAGCUCUGUUGUAAGUCAAGAACGUGUGUGAGAGUGGAAAGUUCACACAGUGACGGUAGCUUACCAGAAAGGGACGGCUAACUACGUGCCAGCAGCCGCAGUAA
This 521-nucleotide ribosomal RNA is filed under the name uncultured bacterium. RNAcentral describes it as "partial 16S ribosomal RNA". It matches the Rfam family "Bacterial small subunit ribosomal RNA", at positions 28 to 523 of the family's 1533-position model. The record is from RNAcentral.